RNAcentral lists this long non-coding RNA (1352 nucleotides) under Calidris pygmaea (Spoon-billed sandpiper). RNAcentral describes it as "lncRNA (ENSCPGG00000006651.1)". The record is from RNAcentral. Lineage: Eukaryota; Metazoa; Chordata; Aves; Charadriiformes; Scolopacidae.
AGACUUUAUUUGCUUCACUGAGACUCCACCUUCAAUUAAUUUGGGUAUCCCGGAGAGAAAUAAAAUGGACAAGUUGAUGCCAUCUGAUUGAAGUUUAAGACAGAAACCUCUCAAACAAUUGCUGAUUGUAACCAAAGAGAAUAAAGAAAUCCAUCAGAUUAUGUCCAGCAAAUUUAAUGUCUGCUGGACCCUCUGCAUCUUGCUGUCCUCUGAUAAGGUCAAGAUUCCUGUUUGUAUCUAAGUAUCUUAUCGAGACAGAAAAUAGGAAUUAUCUGACUACUUGCAGGAUCACAUGGACCAUACUCCUGGGAUAACAGCACUGCAUCUUAACUCAGGAAACGUGUCUCCUGUGGUCAGUGUGCAUGGAAGAGAAGUCAGAAGAUUAUGAUGUUUCACUAGUUUCCUCCAAUAUGUAAAUUCUGUACAUUAUGGUUACCUCUGCUGCUCAUCCAUCUCAAGAAGGUAAGACUGUUUUUUUUUUUUUAACUUUUUUUAUUGCAUAUACUUGCAAGUGUUAAAGCAGCUCAAAAAAACCUUACAGACAUCACCAGUUUUCACUGAACAUUACUUUUUCCUUCUAUUCUUCCUUAUGAUCAGCAUUUAGGAGUGGUCCGGCUAGGCCUUUUGACAUAUUUCAGUGAGUUUUUUUCCAGUGUACCAGUGGAGAGCAUAUACUCCACUGUAGUUCUCUUUGCUUGCAGUUGUGGAGGAUGGGACUGUGUCUAAAAAUAGCCAGCAGGCAGUUGCUGCCCAGUGUAGGAAAUUAGGACUGUGUAUAUCCAUUUUCACUUAGUCUGUAAUGUUUCUCCUCUGAUUUCUCAGGUUAACUGACAUGGGCAGAAAAGUUAAGUUGCCAUAGAUUAUUUCACUAUUAUUACAGUUUUUUCAACAUUUUAGUGUUUUCCUUUGCUCCUUUUGGGGGCUGAACAAAACAAGUGCUGUGUGAAUAGAUGAAGACCCAGCAGUAGCAGCGUCAGCAUUCUUGUGCUGUGGGAGUUGGGAAAAGACGCCUGGGAGUGUUUUGUGACCACACAGAGAGAAGGAGAGAGCAAUUUAUGUCAUUUGCAAAGCUGGCUCCCUAAUCCCUAUAGUUACUAAAGUGAUAUUGUGGGACGGUGGCAAAGCUCAGCUAUAUCUGGGCUGAUUUCCCCCCUAGUAUAUAAGCGCUGCUUCAGUUGCUGUGAUGGGAGCUUUUGUGUAAGACAAGCAGUCAUGGUUUUUUUGCUCUGCUAUUUUAUGUCCUUACGUGAAAACCUCUGUGUCUCUCUUUUAUUUUGCUCUCAUUAAAACAGCUGAUAAAUCUGGCUAAGUGAAAGCCGAGAUGCCUUUAUUUUGCACUAGAGCUGGAGCUA